UUAAGCGACUAAGCGUACACGGUGGAUGCCCUGGCAGUCAGAGGCGAUGAAGGACGUGCUAAUCUGCGAUAAGCGUCGGUAAGGUGAUAUGAACCGUUAUAACCGGCGAUUUCCGAAUGGGGAAACCCAGUGUGUUUCGACACACUAUCAUUAACUGAAUCCAUAGGUUAAUGAGGCGAACCGGGGGAACUGAAACAUCUAAGUACCCCGAGGAAAAGAAAUCAACCGAGAUUCCCCCAGUAGCGGCGAGCGAACGGGGAGCAGCCCAGAGCCUGAAUCAGUGUGUGUGUUAGUGGAAGCGUCUGGAAAGGCGCGCGAUACAGGGUGACAGCCCCGUACACAAAAAUGCACAUAUUGUGAGCUCGAUGAGUAGGGCGGGACACGUGGUAUCCUGUCUGAAUAUGGGGGGACCAUCCUCCAAGGCUAAAUACUCCUGACUGACCGAUAGUGAACCAGUACCGUGAGGGAAAGGCGAAAAGAACCCCGGCGAGGGGAGUGAAAAAGAACCUGAAACCGUGUACGUACAAGCAGUGGGAGCACGCUUAGGCGUGUGACUGCGUACCUUUUGUAUAAUGGGUCAGCGACUUAUAUUCUGUAGCAAGGUUAACCGAAUAGGGGAGCCGAAGGGAAACCGAGUCUUAACUGGGCGUUAAGUUGCAGGGUAUAGACCCGAAACCCGGUGAUCUAGCCAUGGGCAGGUUGAAGGUUGGGUAACACUAACUGGAGGACCGAACCGACUAAUGUUGAAAAAUUAGCGGAUGACUUGUGGCUGGGGGUGAAAGGCCAAUCAAACCGGGAGAUAGCUGGUUCUCCCCGAAAGCUAUUUAGGUAGCGCCUCGUGAAUUCAUCUCCGGGGGUAGAGCACUGUUUCGGCAAGGGGGUCAUCCCGACUUACCAACCCGAUGCAAACUGCGAAUACCGGAGAAUGUUAUCACGGGAGACACACGGCGGGUGCUAACGUCCGUCGUGAAGAGGGAAACAACCCAGACCGCCAGCUAAGGUCCCAAAGUCAUGGUUAAGUGGGAAACGAUGUGGGAAGGCCCAGACAGCCAGGAUGUUGGCUUAGAAGCAGCCAUCAUUUAAAGAAAGCGUAAUAGCUCACUGGUCGAGUCGGCCUGCGCGGAAGAUGUAACGGGGCUAAACCAUGCACCGAAGCUGCGGCAGCGACGCUUAUGCGUUGUUGGGUAGGGGAGCGUUCUGUAAGCCUGCGAAGGUGUGCUGUGAGGCAUGCUGGAGGUAUCAGAAGUGCGAAUGCUGACAUAAGUAACGAUAAAGCGGGUGAAAAGCCCGCUCGCCGGAAGACCAAGGGUUCCUGUCCAACGUUAAUCGGGGCAGGGUGAGUCGACCCCUAAGGCGAGGCCGAAAGGCGUAGUCGAUGGGAAACAGGUUAAUAUUCCUGUACUUGGUGUUACUGCGAAGGGGGGACGGAGAAGGCUAUGUUGGCCGGGCGACGGUUGUCCCGGUUUAAGCGUGUAGGCUGGUUUUCCAGGCAAAUCCGGAAAAUCAAGGCUGAGGCGUGAUGACGAGGCACUACGGUGCUGAAGCAACAAAUGCCCUGCUUCCAGGAAAAGCCUCUAAGCAUCAGGUAACAUCAAAUCGUACCCCAAACCGACACAGGUGGUCAGGUAGAGAAUACCAAGGCGCUUGAGAGAACUCGGGUGAAGGAACUAGGCAAAAUGGUGCCGUAACUUCGGGAGAAGGCACGCUGAUAUGUAGGUGAAGCGACUUGCUCGUGGAGCUGAAAUCAGUCGAAGAUACCAGCUGGCUGCAACUGUUUAUUAAAAACACAGCACUGUGCAAACACGAAAGUGGACGUAUACGGUGUGACGCCUGCCCGGUGCCGGAAGGUUAAUUGAUGGGGUUAGCGGUAACGCGAAGCUCUUGAUCGAAGCCCCGGUAAACGGCGGCCGUAACUAUAACGGUCCUAAGGUAGCGAAAUUCCUUGUCGGGUAAGUUCCGACCUGCACGAAUGGCGUAAUGAUGGCCAGGCUGUCUCCACCCGAGACUCAGUGAAAUUGAACUCGCUGUGAAGAUGCAGUGUACCCGCGGCAAGACGGAAAGACCCCGUGAACCUUUACUAUAGCUUGACACUGAACAUUGAGCCUUGAUGUGUAGGAUAGGUGGGAGGCUUUGAAGUGUGGACGCCAGUCUGCAUGGAGCCGACCUUGAAAUACCACCCUUUAAUGUUUGAUGUUCUAACGUUGACCCGUAAUCCGGGUUGCGGACAGUGUCUGGUGGGUAGUUUGACUGGGGCGGUCUCCUCCUAAAGAGUAACGGAGGAGCACGAAGGUUGGCUAAUCCUGGUCGGACAUCAGGAGGUUAGUGCAAUGGCAUAAGCCAGCUUGACUGCGAGCGUGACGGCGCGAGCAGGUGCGAAAGCAGGUCAUAGUGAUCCGGUGGUUCUGAAUGGAAGGGCCAUCGCUCAACGGAUAAAAGGUACUCCGGGGAUAACAGGCUGAUACCGCCCAAGAGUUCAUAUCGACGGCGGUGUUUGGCACCUCGAUGUCGGCUCAUCACAUCCUGGGGCUGAAGUAGGUCCCAAGGGUAUGGCUGUUCGCCAUUUAAAGUGGUACGCGAGCUGGGUUUAGAACGUCGUGAGACAGUUCGGUCCCUAUCUGCCGUGGGCGCUGGAGAACUGAGGGGGGCUGCUCCUAGUACGAGAGGACCGGAGUGGACGCAUCACUGGUGUUCGGGUUGUCAUGCCAAUGGCACUGCCCGGUAGCUAAAUGCGGAAGAGAUAAGUGCUGAAAGCAUCUAAGCACGAAACUUGCCCCGAGAUGAGUUCUCCCUGACUCCUUGAGAGUCCUGAAGGAACGUUGAAGACGACGACGUUGAUAGGCCGGGUGUGUAAGCGCAGCGAUGCGUUGAGCUAACCGGUACUAAUGAACCGUGAGGCUUAACCUU
Molecule: ribosomal RNA, 2904 nt
Filed under: metagenome
Description: bacterial LSU rRNA
Rfam family: Bacterial large subunit ribosomal RNA
Source: RNAcentral